Molecule: non-coding RNA, 764 nt
Organism: Hydra vulgaris (swiftwater hydra)
Lineage: Eukaryota; Metazoa; Cnidaria; Hydrozoa; Anthoathecata; Hydridae
Source: RefSeq, a predicted model, not a curated record
UAAUGAUAAAAAUAACUAAGUUUAUUAAAUAUAUAAAGGUUAGUUUUCCUCCUUAAAUGAGGUUGCAAAUUGUACAUCAUCAUAACUUUUGAUUGCUAAUAUGAAAUCAUUUCCCUCAUAUUCAGAUAUAGGAGAGCAAAAUUUUUUAGGUAGACAUAAAAAGUUUGAAGUAUGCACAAAGCCUGAAAGUAUCAAAUAUGGAACCUAAAAAAACCUGCCUUUGCCACUGACUAUAUAAAGGUUUUUUAAGGUCUGUUUGUCAAGCGUCAAGUCAGGUUAUCUUGCUCUGGUACCAUGUAGUACAUCCUGCUUAAGCAGGUUGUACGCCAUCCAUACGACGUUUGGGCAUCUGUUUGUAAAAUAUUGCUGCAAAUCUUUUUGAGAGAGCCAUUACUAUGGAGAACCAUCUAAACCAUACAAGUGUCGAAACAUGGAUGUAAAUCUUAAACACAUUUGUGAUAUAUAAUUGUAGAAUGUUAUAUGGCCGCAUUUGAUCCUGAAAAACGUUCUUUUUGGACCAAAUGCUGGCUGGAUUAAUGUGAAAUAAACUGAUGAGUUUAUUUAACUUAGCUGGUAAAAAAAAGAGUUUUUGUGAAACAAAUUUAAUGACGACAAUUAUAGAAUGAAGUUCAUUCGCUGGCAACAUUUUUAAACGUGGUCCAGAUCGAAAAAAUUUUGGUGCUAGAAAUUGUCGAUAGUAGAAGUGAUAGAUGCAUCGAACCUAAUUUGUAAUUAAUUUCUGUAAAUAAAUUUCACUUUACUAA